ACGCCUACGGGACGCAGCAGUGGGGAAUAUUGGGCAAUGGGCGCAAGCCUGACCCAGCAACGCCGCGUGAAGGAAGAAGGCUUUCGGGUUGUAAACUUCUUUUACCAGGGACGAAGAAAGUGACGGUACCUGGAGAAUAAGCCACGGCUAAAUACGUGCCAGCAGCCGCGGUAAUACGUAUGGGGCAAGCGUUAUCCGGAUUUACUGGGUGUAAAGGGAGCGUAGGCGGCCUGGCAAGCCUGAUGUGAAAUACCGGGGCCCAACCCCGGGGCUGCAUUGGGAACUGCCAGGCUGGAGUGCCGGAG
RNAcentral lists this ribosomal RNA (305 nucleotides) under uncultured bacterium. RNAcentral describes it as "bacterial SSU rRNA". It matches the Rfam family "Bacterial small subunit ribosomal RNA", at positions 335 to 654 of the family's 1533-position model. The record is from RNAcentral.